This 649-nucleotide ribosomal RNA is filed under the name uncultured Citreicella sp. Its description in RNAcentral is "bacterial SSU rRNA". It matches the Rfam family "Bacterial small subunit ribosomal RNA", at positions 109 to 793 of the family's 1533-position model. The record is from RNAcentral. Lineage: Bacteria; Pseudomonadati; Pseudomonadota; Alphaproteobacteria; Rhodobacterales; Roseobacteraceae.
AGUAACGCGUGGGAACGUACCCUUUUCUACGGAAUAGCCUCGGGAAACUGAGAGUAAUACCGUAUACGCCCUUCGGGGGAAAGAUUUAUCGGAGAAGGAUCGGCCCGCGUAAGAUUAGAUAGUUGGUGGGGUAAUGGCCUACCAAGUCUACGAUCUUUAGCUGGUUUGAGAGGAUGAUCAGCAACACUGGGACUGAGACACGGCCCAGACUCCUACGGGAGGCAGCAGUGGGGAAUCUUAGACAAUGGGGGAAACCCUGAUCUAGCCAUGCCGCGUGAGUGACGAAGGCCUUAGGGUCGUAAAGCUCUUUCGCUGGGGAAGAUAAUGACUGUACCCAGUAAAGAAACCCCGGCUAACUCCGUGCCAGCAGCCGCGGUAAUACGGAGGGGGUUAGCGUUGUUCGGAAUUACUGGGCGUAAAGCGCACGUAGGCGGAUUAGAAAGUUAGGGGUGAAAUCCCGGGGCUCAACCUCGGAACUGCCUCUAAAACUCCUAGUCUAGAGUUCGAGAGAGGUGAGUGGAAUUCCAAGUGUAGAGGUGAAAUUCGUAGAUAUUUGGAGGAACACCAGUGGCGAAGGCGGCUCACUGGCUCGAUACUGACGCUGAGGUGCGAAAGUGUGGGGAGCAAACAGGAUUAGAUACCCUGGUAG